GGUUGAUCCUGCCAGUAGUCAUAUGCUUGUCUCAAAGAUUAAGCCAUGCAUGUCUAAGUAUAAGCAAAUCUAUACUGUGAAACUGCGAAUGGCUCAUUAAAUCAGUUAUAGUUUAUUUGAUGGUAUCUUACUACAUGGAUAACUGUGGUAAAUCUAGAGCUAAUACAUGCUGAAAAGCCCCGACUUCCGGAAGGGGUGUAUUUAUUAGAUAAAAGACCAAUGGCGGGCAACCGUCUUGAGUUGAUUCAUAAUAACUUCUCGAAUCGCAUGGCCUUGUGCCGGCGAUGCUUCAU
Molecule: ribosomal RNA, 293 nt
Filed under: uncultured eukaryote
Lineage: Eukaryota
Description: partial 18S ribosomal RNA
Rfam family: Eukaryotic small subunit ribosomal RNA
Source: RNAcentral